Non-coding RNA from Oryza sativa Japonica Group (Japanese rice), 1148 nucleotides. The record is from RefSeq and is a predicted model, not a curated record. Lineage: Eukaryota; Viridiplantae; Streptophyta; Magnoliopsida; Poales; Poaceae.
UUUCCCACAUCGACCGAUCUCUUCGAGCUCCGUCUCUCUCUUCCCAUGGCCGAUCGUCGACGUCGUCGGUCGAUCUCCCCAUCCGUAGCUCCUCUUCCCCUCUCCUCGCACCACCGGCUUCGCCUCCCUCCGACGAGCCCAUUUUUCCCGUUUCCCCCUUCUCUCCCACUCCAUAGCAGCCACCAUCAUCACUUCUUUAAGCGGUCAGAGCAAGUUCUUGCCGCCUCCGUUCUGGUUUCCUUCCUCUUCCUCUCUACCAGCCACCGACCUCCUCGAGUACGCAUCGAGCGGGAACACGAUAUGCCACCGGCGUCGCCGCAUUCCGGCCACCGGAGGGCCGGCGCCCCGCUCGCCCUCUCCUCUCUCUCCCUCUCGGUUGCCAACAGAAAAAGAGAAGAGGAAUCGGGAGGAAGAAGAAGAGAAAAAAAAAAGAAAAAGAAAAAGGACAGCUAAUGACAGUAGAGUCUAUUAUAAUUGGAUGGCAACCUUUGGUAUUUCAAGCAUUGGAUAAUCAGGUUGGCUAUCUCGGAUUUAUUGCGUUGGAGCAAGGCAAGUUAUUAUUCCUCUCCUUUGAGCAUAAAUGCCCUAUAUUCUAUAUCUUUAUUUUAUGCAUUAGUCAUUCAUGAUUUCGAAUGCAUAACCUGCCAACAUCGGCUGGUUCUCUCAUUUGCCCUUGAAGCAGACUUGAGGUCUUGGGGGCAUGAUAGCCGAUGACUGGGGGAGCUAAUCCACCUCCAUUUGGUAGAAGGCCUGGAGCAUAUUCUAUGUCCCUGCCACUGUUGCUCUUGCGAGGAGGAGAAGAUUCUGUUGUCUGCAAGGCAAAGAAAGAAGUUAGUCAAGAUUCAAGUCGGCUAACAAUUAUUCCAACAGAAUUGACAAAGUAAAAAUAUACCUGAGGGACAACAUCUGGAAAUAAAUCUAUCAUGUACAUAGAGGCCGGCUGAUGGAAUAUAUGCUGCUUCCAUUCACCCCCACCAUCUGUCAAAAUUCCUACUCCUGAACCUUGCCAGCUCUAUGUUCUCGAUACUGCCUAAAGGAGGUCCUGGGAUGUUGAGCAGCCGAUCCAUCAUCAAUGUUGAUGAGAUUUCUCCUCUGUACUGGAUCUUAUCGGCAAAGAACAAGUCGAUUGAUAGCUGUCCCAUUCCAAA